UAUGUGAUCGUCUCUCGCAUAUCAAUAAGCGGAGGAAAAGAAACUAACAAGGAUUCCCCUAGUAACGGCGAGUGAAGCGGGAAGAGCUCAAAUUUGAAAUCUUAAAGGGUUUCCCUUUACGAAUUGUAGUUUAAAGAAGUGUUUUCUGUUGAGGUUUUGGUAAAAGUUCUUUGGAAUAGGACAUCAUAGAGGGUGAGAAUCCCGUAUUUGACCUUUACUUUCAACUUUGUGAUACACUUUCAAAGAGUCGGAUUGUUUGGGAAUGCAGUCCAAAAUGGGUGGUAAAUUUCAUCUAAAGCUAAAUAUUGGCGAGAGACCGAUAGCGAACAAGUACCGUGAGGGAAAGAUGAAAAGAACUUUGAAAAGAGAGUUGAAACAGUACGUGAAAUUGUCAAAAGGGAAGCGUUUGACACCAGUGUUGUUUUUCUGAAAAUCAAUUAAAGAACUGUUUAUGCUAAGUUGUUUAGACUUUAUCAGCUAACUGUUUAGUUUUGAGCUUUUCUUUAAUGCACUUUUCAGUUAACAAGUCAACAUCAAUUUCUUUUGCUGUAAAAAAGCUUGAGGAAGGUGGCUUGAGAUUCGUCUUAAGUGUUUAUAGCCUCUUGCCUAUGCAGUCGGAGAGAUUGAGGUCUGCAGCGUAGAUCCUUCGGGGCUAAAUGCAUUUGUGCUAAGUUAUAACAUUUUAUAGACAACUUGUUGACUAUGAUUUGUCUUGUAGCUUACUCGCUUAUGUUAUUUUACCUACGCUUAGGAUGUUGAAGUCAUCGUAUCGCGC
This 775-nucleotide ribosomal RNA is filed under the name uncultured Neocallimastigales. RNAcentral describes it as "partial large subunit ribosomal RNA". It matches the Rfam family "Eukaryotic large subunit ribosomal RNA", at positions 24 to 645 of the family's 3401-position model. Lineage: Eukaryota; Fungi; Neocallimastigomycota; Neocallimastigomycetes; Neocallimastigales. The record is from RNAcentral.